This 306-nucleotide ribosomal RNA is filed under the name Salmonella enterica. RNAcentral describes it as "partial 16S ribosomal RNA". It matches the Rfam family "Bacterial small subunit ribosomal RNA", at positions 1 to 303 of the family's 1533-position model. Lineage: Bacteria; Pseudomonadati; Pseudomonadota; Gammaproteobacteria; Enterobacterales; Enterobacteriaceae. The record is from RNAcentral. RNAcentral also lists the same sequence under 2 other names.
AAAUUGAAGAGUUUGAUCAUGGCUCAGAUUGAACGCUGGCGGCAGGCCUAACACAUGCAAGUCGAACGGUAACAGGAAGCAGCUUGCUGCUUCGCUGACGAGUGGCGGACGGGUGAGUAAUGUCUGGGAAACUGCCUGAUGGAGGGGGAUAACUACUGGAAACGGUGGCUAAUACCGCAUAACGUCGCAAGACCAAAGAGGGGGACCUUCGGGCCUCUUGCCAUCAGAUGUGCCCAGAUGGGAUUAGCUUGUUGGUGAGGUAACGGCUCACCAAGGCGACGAUCCCUAGCUGGUCUGAGAGGAUGA